Falco peregrinus (peregrine falcon) is the source of this 7412-nucleotide long non-coding RNA. RefSeq lists it as uncharacterized. The record is from RefSeq and is a predicted model, not a curated record. Lineage: Eukaryota; Metazoa; Chordata; Aves; Falconiformes; Falconidae. The transcript has 3 exons.
CGAGAAGGCAGAAUGUCAAGAAUCUGGCGUACUCUAAUGGAUACAGUUAAGAAAAAGCAUGCUCCUGACUUCGACCUAUCAAACAACCUCUUUUAAAGGCACUUGCUUCCAACACACACUGCCAUGGCUGUGCCAGGAACUAUCUCAACCUAUCUGGUAAGAGAGAGGCAAUACCACCUCGACAUUUGUAUUCACCCUGGAAAAAGCAGAUUACCAUUGUCCUCAGCGUGGCUGACGUUGCUACUGGUUAGAAAGCAUCCGAUCGCAUUUACUCCAGACUCGCUAAUAAGUAGUUUUAUUCCCAACUUUGUAUUUCAAAAGAUGUUGUAAGCCCUUUCCAAGAUACCAACAGGACACCUGACAAGGGAAAUUGGUUUCUCUAAACCUAGUUAUUUUACAUGUCUCACAACAUGGUGGGAUGAACAGCAAAGCAAUUUGAUUUGUCAGAUUUCCCUACAUGUUCCGAGAAUGUUUUUGUGCUGACUACACAAAAAUCUGCUGAGCAUUCAUUGGUACUAAAGAUAGAUGUUCUCAUCAGCAGACGCAGUGAACAUUCUGAAUUUGUAUGCAGUUUUAGCACCCACUCGUACCAGAUCAUUUUUGAAGGAGCACGAUGAAAGAACCGUGAAGUAAGCAAAGUAGUUCUUCAUGCUGAAACAGAAAAAGGUGCCUAGAGCCUCAUUUAGAAAACCUGUUAGACUAUUGAUACUGCUUCAGAUGCUAACUGCAGAAGAAAAACAAACCUUUGCUACAUUUAAAGCUUAUGAAAAUGCCAUUCUGCACUGAAAACAGUAACAAUAGCAGGAAGCCUUUCCAAACACUCUGGGAACAAGAAUCAAAUGGUGCGAGUUUCCAGUUGUAAACUAUCAUCACACACAUUCUUCAUUAGCAAACAGACUAUUCCCUGCAAUCAAACCCACUCCAGAAAUUAAAAAAAGUUUACCAAUAUUUGGGGGUGGGGAGGGUUCUAUGAAAUAAUUAUUCAGCAGAAAACACUUAAUUUUAGUUUCAUCCAUAUGGAGAAGUCUGGUUGUGCUGCGCAUUUCUAAGAAAUACAGCACAAUUUCUGCAGCCAAGGGGAAGUGUAACUGGAGUGGCUUUAAAAAAAAAAAAAACCAAUCACUUUUUACCCGAGCAACCCUAAAAGCUUUGGAAGUUUAACAAGUAACUUUUGGUGGUGGUGACAACUUAAGCAGUUAGCGCCCUCUCCUCCCACGGCUCACUUGUUCUUGCCUCCAUCACAUGCUGUAAUUUCUGAGGAUGUUCAGUGAACUGAUAUAGGAACUGACCUGCCUUAAAAAUGUCAGUUUUCUGCUUGACUCUCAGUCAGAACAGUUCUUCACUACAAAUCACCAAUAAAUUGAAUGAAAAAUGUAUGCAAAGUUUUAAGAACUGUUUUAAAUAGCCAAAGCCACAGAAUAUUCAAGCAAUUGAUUUCCAAUAAUUUGUUAAGAUUUAUUUUGACACUGACAAGGGAGAGAAGCAGAAUUAUAGAAACUGACACACAAGUGACAAACACAACUCACAUUCACCUGGAAUAUUUUUGCUUUGAAAAGUUUGUCUGUAACAAGCAAUUUUGAUUAAGUGAAAUGAAAUUCAUGGUACAGCAACAGCAUCUGUCAAGAACAAAGAGCCUGGGGCAGAUAUUCUCGUUUCGAUGUUUAAAUCGAACAGAUAGUGUACCUGUUCAACACACAGUACAUAAACUACCUUAUUUUACAAUUUAGAACAGGAAGAGAAGUUGGCAAGCUAUCUUCAAUUUCCUUCUCAAUUGAGCGAACACCCUUAAGAACUAACAGGUGUUCCCAAAACCAAAAUACAUUACAUACAAAAAAAACUUCUAAGCAGUUAUCUUUCCCAGUAAUUCUGUAUGAACAUUGCUAAAAAUCUUGUUGAUUUAAAAAAAAAAUCUAGUAAGGAAUAAACAAAAUAUUUAAUACCUCAGGGGUUUUUCCUAUGAUGAUGUAGGUUUUGUACUUUAAGCUUCAUGUCAUAUAUUACAAACUUCAUUCGCUUCCCCCUCCCAGCACCUCUCCCAAGUAACCCAGGGCCACCACCAAGCCCAAAGCCAUCGCCAGCUGCAGCCGUAUGUUGGACCAGGCCUAUGGUUAUGGAGCAUCCAGGUUCAGCUGAUGGAGUUACACUGCUGCUGGCCCAGAGAGCAACUGUCCAGACGCAGAAAGAGGGAGGACCAGGACUCUGUAAUUCAGUCCAGUGCAUGAGAGAGGGAAUCAAACAGCCUAGAAGCCACUGAACAACUCACCGAAAAUGAUUCGGGACAUCUUCCUCUUUAACCUGACUCCCGAAGCCUUUGCAGGAUUCACUUUCAAAAGCAAAGAAGCGGUAAGUUACUACAGUGUAUCAGGGCUAUAUCCUGUGCUCCUGCUGCUGCCCCCGCUCCUGCGCCAGUCACUGACAGCCCGAGAAGGGGAUAGAUGGGGACAAACCAGGCAAUCCUUUCCCUCACACGCAGGCAGGGCUGCCAAAGUCAUGGAGAAUCGAGCCCACCUUAGCAGAGGACUAGCCUGAACUACGUGCGUAAGAGAAAUUAUUUUCUUAUGCUUGAAGUAUUUAAGGUUUCCUACGUCACUCCAAAUUAAUCAAUCCCUUAUUUGGAAAACUUAUUUCUAAAUAGCUUUUUUUCCCAUGUAUCCCCACAAACGCAAUGUGAUACUACACGCACAAGUCAUUUUUUGAGUCUACUGCACCAGGAGUGGUGAGAGAUUCACCACUCACAAUUUAAGGCUGCGAGGGGGGGCUGUUUUGGCUUUUUCCCUGACAACUGCCAGAUCUCACAAUACAGCUCUGACUGCCUCAGAGCUAGAGGCAGACACAACUACCGCACAAAUGUACUGCUAACAAAGUGAAUAAGCUAUACUUUUAAAUAGCACAGAUUAGAAGUUUAUACUGCAUUUGACAUGGGCCUGAGCAACUCCAGAGGGACAAAAAUUACUUUAUGAGGUAAAAGGAUAUAGUCCAGGUAUUUUAAAAUAAUACCUGAGUCUAGGCAGACAGUAAAUAGAUUAAUUCCUUCUCUUGUCCUCCACCCCUUAAUCUUGCCAAGUAACAUAAUUAUAAGGAGCACAGCAGGAGUGUAACUAAAGGUUAGAGGAUGGCAGCAAGAACUUCUAUCAGCCUUCAUUCCCUGCUCUGUUAUCACCCUUGCAUGUGAGCUUGCUGCAUUGUUUUCCUCAUUUGUAAAACAGAAAUGUCUUAUUUUCAGGGGGCUUUCUUGAGAUGGGUGGUUUGUAGUUUGGGUAUGUUCGGAGAAAGUGUUACACACGGCACAUGAAAUGGAGAAAACAUUGUUUCAGAGGUGAUACCUGAUCUUGAGGUAUAAUGCUGAAGUUGUCAUAAAAGUACAUGCUACCUCUCAUAUAUAAUCAAUAAGGACUUCAUUUUUUUCACUAUUGUGCUGUCCAAAGCAAAGAUUAAAUGUCUGAAGUUAAAGAGAAAAGUGUCAUCAGCUUAAAGUGUAGUUAUGUCUUUUAAAAACCCUGCAACUGUUUUGCCCUUGGAUCUUUCAAGUUUUGUGACUUCUCUAAAAAUCCAGGCCAGUGAAGACAAACGCUUGUAGGAGUACAAUCCAAGAAUAGGAGAGUAAAGGUAAGCAUUCACACUAACUACAGUAAGUUCUGCGCUGAGCCUGAAAUGCUAUUAAAUGCACAAAGAAAAACAAAAGCCUACUGAAAUAACUCUAAACCAUGAUUCCCCACUGUUUACAAUUUAUGUUUGCUUGUUAAUAUGUACGGUCUCUAAAAGAAGCAUGACACAGUUAAACAGACUCCAAGACACUGAUAAGAAACUGGCCAGUUUUACUUUCUGAAUUUCAUACAGUACAGAGAAUCAUUAAAACACCUUACAAAAUAAUUUUACCAAAAAAACCCAGAAAACCAACUAAAAGCGCAGAUUCUAGCUCUAUAAGAACUAAUAAUAAAGUUUCCUCUGCAACGUUCUAAUCCUGUAUACUCACAUGUCUUUUAUACACUGAAUAACUGUACUUUUUGGCAAAGUGUUUUCAUUUGAUUAAAAAUUAUUUUGUCAAUUCUCAGUUUGAAAAAGGGAAAACUUGCUUCUGCGUAAGGACGACCACACAUCGCUCAAAACCCUAUUUCCCCUGUUACUGAGAACCAGUGUUUGGAUCAAUUUAGAAUUGUUUUUCAAGUAUCAAAGUUGUUUAAAACCCCUCUAUUUGGAAGGGCUAUGGCGUUUACAGGCACACGGUGGAUUGCAGGCCAUCAAUAGCAGGUACCUGGGUGUGGCCUUGUGUUUGUAUUUUAUCUUGGAGUUCAACAGUUGCAUAAAUGUUUGACUAUGCAAUUAUGGAAGCAGAGUAAAAACAGUAAGAUAAAAUAAUUGUCUACAUACCUCACUUCAGAAGUGAAGCGUUGUUUACUUUUUAACUCUAUUUUCAAUUUUUAAUACUAAAGAUACUUCUGAACUCCUAAAAACCAGGAAACAAAAGCACCGAUGUUACAGACACCUUCGCUCAACCAUAACCGAAGAUCGGCACGGAAGGGAGCAGCUCCAAGUGCAUCUCAGUACCACACGUUACUACACCACCAAGUAAGUACUAUGACUAUCCAGCAUGGAAAUAGCCUUCCCUUUGCGACUACCCACCACCUCUCCACACAGCACUUAGCUACGGAUCUCGCAUGGAGAGCGGCUUGUUUUACAUUAGUGGGUGGCAACUGUGAAAAGCAUUUCAUUGAAAUCCCUGGCAUGUCUCUUGGAGAUCUAUGUUCCCAAUCAUACAUGUUUGGAGACAGUUUGCUUUUUACGAGAAAGGGUCGUGAAGCAAAGUAGCUCCCUUAAAAGAGAAGCCCUAGAUCCUUCCCUAAAUAUAAUUACUCCCUAUUUGUCUGUUUUUACCCUAAACUGUAAGAGAUCAUCCAUAACAACGUAUCCUUGACAAAGACUUCUUUAUUCCCACCUCUCACAUUUCAGGAGGAGUCAAGAUCUGACAACUGUGGCUCUUUGAAGAGGUGUAAUGGUGGCUCAUAGAUCAAAACUCCAUCUCAGAUGUCACUGGAAAAUGAUUCAUUAGCUAUGUUCAUUUCACAUUUUUGCUAACUUAGGUGUGCUCCUGGGAAGGGCACACCUCCACUGACUUUUUUUUGUAACUCAGCAGAGAAAACUUCAGUUAAGACUAUUUGAUGGUAUAAAGCUCUGCAAAACCAGGCCAUAAAUAAGGUCUUUGGCCCAGGAAACGUGAUUUGCUCAAACAAACCCUGAGAUAACAAGGCUUGUUAUAACUUGACUUCAUAUUUAAAAUUGAACUGUGCAAGUACAAUGGCAAAAUUUCUUUCACAAGGAGUUUUGCCAACAGGAGAUACAAAUGGCUUCCACAAUCUGGAAAGGACCCCCAUCUCCACCUGGAAGGUGGAACUAUGCCCUCAGUUUUCUACGAGCAGACAGUGUGUUAUUAUGAACUUACUACAUCCAGUCUCUUUAAGCCAUUGCGAUUAAUAUGAAUAACUAUGACACAUGACAGGAGUCCAGAAAAAAUGCAGUACUACAAAAUGUUGGCAAGACCUUAAGGAAAUGGGAAUUGCUUUAUUUUAUGUGACCUAUAAAAGGUUCAAAGUUUAUUCUCACUUACCGAAGACAAACUCUCUAUGUAGCUCAAAGAAAACACAGUUAAUGCUUUUCCUAAAUUAUUUUAAAUAUAACUGAGUGACACACUGAAAAAGUCUAUUUCCUUUAGUUAUCAUCACUCUACAAUGCUGAGAAAAGACACACCACCGACUCUUCCACAUUAGACUUUUUAAAGUGGAUCUGUGAAUCUGGAACUUAAACAAUGAUAUUAGGCUGAUACACACGCAAGUUUGGACCUUCAAAACAUCAUGCUGCAGCAAUCCAGAUUACAUCAUCUGUACAAGAGCUCUACCUUGUUCCUACCAAGAUGAAUGGCAAAACUCAAAGCCGUUUUGGCUGACCUGACUCUCCGAAAGGCAUGACGGCAGCUGCUUAUUUAACAGCCUUUACAAGUGGUGUGGUACAGCACCUCACAGCUCCUGGACUGGCAUAAAAACCACACGCAACAUGCGCAAUCCACAAAUGUCUGGCAAUAAAAACUGAAAGCAAAAAUAUAAGAGGGAAGUUAUCAAUGUCUCCUUCCUUCCUAUACCACUCCCUCCGAGAAGCAACGGCCAUACCAUUUUUCUAGAAAAGAAGGUCACAUUGUCAAGCCCAUUUUUAUGGCAUUUUAGUGAAAGAUUAAAGUACUAACUAAUGCUUAGAAGUGCAGUGGAACUGGGGGGGUGGGGGUGGGGUGGAGGCUGAGAAGCAAGAGGCACUGCAGAUAUUAAUAAUUUUUCUUGCCUUUCAAUUUUUUAUGUUCUAUUUUACAUUUAAAAAAGAAGAAAUGAUUGGAAAUAUAUUUUUUUCCACCAUAGCAGUAGUGAUGUGCUUUUGAACAAUGCAUUUUUUUUCAGAACAGGGAAAAAAAGAUGCCUUACAAAAUACAAAAUUAAGAUGGUUGUUUACUAUCUGAAACUAAGGGGAACCUUAUAAAGCAACAGACAUACUGAUCAUGAUAGUAACGCUGUGACAAAACUUAACAGCUAUCGAAAAAAUAAACAAAAGAAGUUAAUGCCAUCACAUCAGGAUCCCUAAGGACAAUUAAAGGUUUAUGCCUACUGAUUUAAAAUAUGAGUGACACUGCGCACAAUAUAUCUACUAUUAAAUUUUUAAUCACUCCUCAGCACAUUUAAAAUAACAGAACUAGCCUUAUGAAAGCACUGCUGAGCUAUUGGUUUCUUCAAAGGUAACCAAGUUAUAAUGGUUAAUUAUGUACCUACACAGUUAAGGAAAUGCAACUUCAAAACCUGCCAUCUACAUGUCCUAGCAAAAUCCCAGCCCUACUAGGGGUACACAACCUCGAAACCAGCUGUAAAAUGGCAUUAAAGAUUAAGUUUAACAGAAUCGGCCAUGCAUCUGUCAGAUCUUAGAGCACAGUUAUGUUGCACCCCACAGGAACAGGUUUUUUAAUAAGGCUGAAGCACCGCCUGACAGUUACAGGGUCUCUGCCCGGUGUUCCACAGGACCAGCCUGUCAAGUUCAUUGUUGUAUGUCACAGUCACUCUGCACGCAGAUACCGUAGGGCAUCGCCAUAGCAUUCCGCAGAUGGCUAAAUCUUACACCACUGUGUAUGCACGUCCCCGGCAACCCCACUGCAUACGCUCUGUGAUGUUAAUUAGCAACAACAUACAACACAUACAAUAAACUUGCACGCUUCGGGGGCAACGGAUACCAUUUUCUUUCCAAGUACCACCUUACUCCUGAAGCAAAACGAAGCGGAACAUAAUCGCAAGCAACAUUUUACAAUAAACUACACUUGCACUUGGUUACAAUCCCUCUGAGGCCGAGUUUACAAGCACGAUCCGCGCUGGAAAACAAACACAGCCAGG